UUGAUCCUGGCUCAGAACGAACGCUGGCGGCGCGUUUUAAGCAUGCAAGUCGAGCGGUAACUACCCUUCGGGGUAGCUAGAGCGGCGAACGGGUGAGUAACACGUAGAUUAUCUGCCUUGAGGUUGGGGAUAGCCUGUGGAAACACAGGGUAAUACCGAGUAAGCCCUAUGGGGGAAAGGUGCUAAGGCACCGCCUUAAGAUGAGUCUGCGGCUCAUUAGUUAGUUGGUGGGGUAACGGCCUACCAAGGCGACGAUGAGUAGCCGGCCUGAGAGGGUGGACGGCCACACUGGGACUGAGACACGGCCCAGACUCCUACGGGAGGCAGCAGCUAAGAAUCUUCCGCAAUGGGCGCAAGCCUGACGGAGCGACGCCGCGUGAACGAAGAAGGCCGUGAGGUUGUAAAGUUCUUUUCUUACUGAAGAAUAAUUACCCGAGGGAAUGCGGGUAAGAUGACGUUAGGUAAGGAAUAAGCCCCGGCUAGUUACGUGCCAGCAGCCGCGGUAACACGUAAGGGGCAAGCGUUGUUCGGAAUUAUUGGGCGUAAAGGGCGUGUAGGCGGUUUUACAAGUCUGGUGUGAAAUACCGCAGCUUAACUGCGGGGACGCGCUGGAAACUGUAAGACUAGAGUACAGGAGGGGGACCUGGAAUUCCUGGUGUAGGGGUGAAAUCUGUAGAUAUCAGGAAGAACACCGGUGGCGAAGGCGAGGUCCUGGCCAUGUACUGACGCUGAGGCGCGAAAGCGUGGGGAGCGAACAGGAUUAGAUACCCUGGUAGUCCACGCCGUAAACGAUGUGCACUAGGUGC
Molecule: ribosomal RNA, 806 nt
Filed under: uncultured organism
Description: bacterial SSU rRNA
Rfam family: Bacterial small subunit ribosomal RNA
Source: RNAcentral